RNAcentral lists this ribosomal RNA (497 nucleotides) under uncultured bacterium. Its description in RNAcentral is "partial 16S ribosomal RNA". It matches the Rfam family "Bacterial small subunit ribosomal RNA", at positions 28 to 507 of the family's 1533-position model. The record is from RNAcentral.
GAUGAACGCUGGCGGCGUGCCUAAUACAUGCAAGUCGAGCGAACAGAUGCGGAGCUUGCUCCCCCGACGUUAACGGCCGACGGGUGAGUAACACGUGGAUAACCUACCUAUACGACUGGGAUAACUUCGGGACACCGGAGCUAAUACCGGAUAAUAUAUUGAACCGAAUGGUUCAAUAGUGAAAGACGGUUUUGCUGUCACUUAUAGAUGGAUCCGCGCCGCAUUAGCUAGUUGGUCAGGUAACGGCUUACCAAGGCAACGAUGCGUAGCCGACCUGAGUGAGUGGUCUGCCACAGUGGAACUUAGACACGGUCCUGACUCCUGCGGGAGGCACCAGUAGGGAAUCGUCCGCAAUGGGCGAAAGCCUUACGGGACAACGCCGCGUAAGGGAUGAAAGUCUUCGAAUCGGAAAACUCUGUUAUUAGGGAAUAACAAAUGUGUAAGUGACGAUGCACGUCUUGACGGUACCUAAUCAGAAAGCCACGGCUAACUACGUG